GAUGAACGCUGGCGGCGUGCCUAAUACAUGCAAGUCGAGCGAACGGACGAGAAGCUUGCUUUUCUGAUGUUAGCGGCGGACGGGUGAGUAACACGUGGAUAACCUACCUAUAAGACUGGGAUAACUUCGGGAAACCGGAGCUAAUACCGGAUAAUAUUUUGAACCGCAUGGUUCAUAAGUGAAAGACGGUCUUGCUGUCACUUAUAGAUGGAUCCGCGCCGCAUUAGCUAGUUGGUAAGGUAACGGCUUACCAAGGCAACGAUGCAUAGCCGACCUGAGAGGGGGGUCCGGCCCACCGGGACUGAGACAAGGGCCAGACUCCUAAGGGAAGCAGCAAUAAGGGAUCUUUCCGAAAGGGGCGAAGGCUUAACGAAGAAACGCGCGGGGAUUGUUAAGGUCUUUGGGUUCGUAAACCUCGGUAAUAGGGAAAAAAAAUAUGUGUAGGAACCAGGCACCACUUGAACGUACCCUAACAAGAAAGCACGGCUUACCUACGU
RNAcentral lists this ribosomal RNA (497 nucleotides) under uncultured bacterium. RNAcentral's name for it is "partial 16S ribosomal RNA". It matches the Rfam family "Bacterial small subunit ribosomal RNA", at positions 28 to 506 of the family's 1533-position model. The record is from RNAcentral.